UAGCCUUGACAUUGAUAGAAUACACCAGAGAUGGAGUAGUGCCUUUCGGGGAACUUGAAAACAGGUGCUGCACGGCUGUCGUCAGCUCGUGUCGUGAGAUGUUGGGUUAAGUCCCGCAACGAGCGCAACCCUCGUCCUUAGUUGCCAGCAGGUUAAGCUGGGCACUCUAAGGAGACUGCCUUCGUAAGGAGGAGGAAGGUGAGGACGACGUCAAGUCAUCAUGGCCCUUACGGCUAGGGCAACACACGUGCUACAAUGGUUAGGACAAUGAGAAGCGAUACCGCGAGGUGGAGCAAAUCUAUAAACCUAAUCUCAGUUCGGAUAGCAGUCUGCAACUCGACUGCUUGAAGCUGGAAUCACUAGUAAUCGUAAAUCAGCUAUGUUACGGUGAAUACGUUCCCGGGUCU
This 407-nucleotide ribosomal RNA is filed under the name uncultured bacterium. Its description in RNAcentral is "bacterial SSU rRNA". It matches the Rfam family "Bacterial small subunit ribosomal RNA", at positions 976 to 1381 of the family's 1533-position model. The record is from RNAcentral.